GUGAAUCAUCGAAUCUUUGAACGCAAAUUGCACUCUCUUCGGAGAGUAUGCCUGUUUGAGGGUCAGCCUAAAAAAAAAAAUCGACAUAGUCGCUGUUUCGCGGUGUCAUUCGUCGGAAAUUGGGUCAUCUUAAACCUUUGGGUUUUAAGUGGUUUAAAAUUUUCUUUACGUUUUCACGAACUUUUUUAAGAUUUAUUUCUUUUACGUUGAAGGUAUCGAGCU
This 222-nucleotide unclassified non-coding RNA is filed under the name Glomus sp. Its description in RNAcentral is "partial contains 5.8S ribosomal RNA and internal transcribed spacer 2". The stretch from base 1 to 65 matches the Rfam family "5.8S ribosomal RNA", at positions 84 to 154 of the family's 154-position model. Lineage: Eukaryota; Fungi; Glomeromycota; Glomeromycetes; Glomerales; Glomeraceae. The record is from RNAcentral.